This 1197-nucleotide long non-coding RNA is filed under the name Sus scrofa (pig). RNAcentral's name for it is "lncRNA (ENSSSCG00045016093.1)". The record is from RNAcentral. Lineage: Eukaryota; Metazoa; Chordata; Mammalia; Artiodactyla; Suidae.
UGGAUUUAUUCCCCGAUUCUCUGGCACCUCCAGGGUUUUGGGGGAGCGUAUCUUGCUCACAGACCCAGAUGAACACGUCUGUCUGAUAAAAGUCCCGGAUUCAGGCGACUCUAGUUUUUUUUUCACCCCAAUUUCUGAUUUUUUGAAGCAGAAUAAUAUCCACACUAUCGUCUAGGUGAUGGGCUGGAAGAUGCAUCAUGAGCUGUUCUGGAAUAAGAUCAUCCUUGAUCGUCACUGGAGAAAAUGAGACGUUCCAUUAACAGCAAGGAAACAGCAGGCCUGGGCAGCUUGGAGCCCAGGACGUCUGUCUACAUCCAUCACCAGGAAGCUUAUUGCAGUAUUGUGCAAUUUGGCCCUAAUUCUGCAGCACUCGAGAAAAUCAGACAGACCUUAAUGGAACUUUUAUAAUGUUCAAAGCUUCAAAGAUGAGCCACUUGUACCCCUGCCAUGGAUGAGCUCACAGUUCCAAUGGAGAAGACACAGGUAAGAGAUUACAGCGCAGGUGGUUAGUGUAGCUGAGGAGGGGCUGUGGAAUAUUGAAGGAGUUCAAGUACAUUGAGAAAGGGAUUAUAGAUGGGGUACCUUUUGACCUGGAACUUUCAGCAGGAGUAAUAAGCCUAAUUCUCUAAACACUCUCUAUUUUUAGUAUAUGUGCUGCCGAAACAAGCACUAAACACUGUUUUUUGCAAUGGAAAUUUCUUUGCACAAGGUAGCAUUCCAUUUGUUUUGUUCAAUAAAGUAAACACUUGUUCAGUAAAUGAAUGACAGCAGUGAAUGAUGACUCUCUGGAAUUAUAUUUCUAAUUCCGAAAAAUAUCUUAGUUUUUUUUCCUUUCUUUUUCCCACUUUAACAUCAAUACUCAAGAACUUUGCUUAAUCACAACGUUACAUAAAUUGGCCAGCAGAGGGCACUGCAUACUGACAGUGCCUCCACUGCUUAUAUCUUCAAAUGCUUGAGAUGUGAUAACUGUGUUAACUUGGGUGUGUUUGCAAGUGCCUUGCAACUGUUUCAGAGAAAAAUAUGUCAGAAAUUAAAAGAAGCGUGUGAAUAAAGAAAUUAGAUAAAUGGUGUAAUUGAUUUCUCUUUGUUGAUAAAGAGGAAACACGUCUGUAUGUAAUGAAUGUAGCUUAUUAUCAAUUAAGAGAAGGUAAUAUGAUAAUAUUACCUCCCUGUAUAAAUUGGCAUGACUUCUAAAUU